This 312-nucleotide long non-coding RNA is filed under the name Salvator merianae (Argentine black and white tegu). RNAcentral describes it as "lncRNA (ENSSMRG00000005680.1)". The record is from RNAcentral. Lineage: Eukaryota; Metazoa; Chordata; Lepidosauria; Squamata; Teiidae.
GUUGUACUGGUUGAAGGAUUCUGAAACAUAGUAAGAGAUACUCGAAGAGUGAAGAGCAGGCAUGGAGAAUGCAAAGGUGACAGAUACUGUUCCACAGCUAAGCCAAGGACAAAUCCUGAAAAUUAUGAAUAUGGUGAAGAAUAAGGAGCUGAGCAUCGAGGAAGCAUUGGAUUUAGCAGAAAAAGAAAAAAAUGUUGAAGAAAAAAACCAUAAUCUGCUGAACUUCAGUAUGGAUAAUCCGGACUUACCAGAUAGUUCGCAGUUCAACUUCAUUGUCUAUAAGUAUAACCGCUACCGAUGGCAGAAACGGAU